GUGGUUUCGCACUUUCUCACUUUAGUAUCUUAUGGUUUAAAGUGUAUCAAGUUAAUACCAUGUGGUUUCACAAUUUCUCACUUUAGUACCCUGUGGUUUAAUAUUUCAUUAAGAAAAAAAUAAAACCAUAGGGUACUAACUUGAUAUAAAAAUAAAACCACAUGAUACUAAUUUAAUACAUUUUAAACCAAAGAGUACUAAAGUGAGAAAGUACGAAACCACAGAGAACUAGCUCGAUACAUUUUAAACCAAAGGAUACUAAAAUGAAAAAGUGCGAAACCAUAUGAGGGUUUUUGAAGUUUUUUCUAACAAUUAUGAGGCCCUACAGGCCCAUAAC
Molecule: long non-coding RNA, 337 nt
Filed under: Ananas comosus (pineapple)
Lineage: Eukaryota; Viridiplantae; Streptophyta; Magnoliopsida; Poales; Bromeliaceae
Description: long non-coding RNA (ACOM_LNC033743)
Source: RNAcentral